UACGGAGGGUGCAAGCGUUAAUCGGAAUUACUGGGCGUAAGGCGCACGCAGGCGGUCUGUCAAGUCGGAUGUGAAAUCCCCGGGCUCAACCUGGGAACUGCAUUCGAAACUGGCAGGCUGGAGUCUUGUAGAGGAGGGUAGAAUUCCAGGUGUAGCGGUGAAAUGCGUAGAGAUCUGGAGGAAUACCGGUGGCGAAGGCGGCCCCCUGGACAAAGACUGACGCUCAGGUGCGAAAGCGUGGGGAGUAAACAGGAUUAGAUACCCUGGUAGUCCACGCUGUAAACGAUGUCGACUUGGAGGUUGUUCCCUUGAGGAGUGGCUUCCGGAGCUAACGCGUUAAGUCGACCGCCUGGGAAGUACGGUCGCAAGAUUAAA
This 375-nucleotide ribosomal RNA is filed under the name uncultured bacterium. RNAcentral's name for it is "bacterial SSU rRNA". It matches the Rfam family "Bacterial small subunit ribosomal RNA", at positions 524 to 898 of the family's 1533-position model. The record is from RNAcentral.